CCCGCACAAGCGGUGGAGUAUGUGGUUUAAUUCGAUGCAACGCGAAGAACCUUACCUGGUCUUGACAUCCCGGAGACCCUUAGGAAACUAGGGGGUGCUUCCAUCUGGAAGAAUCUGGAGACAGGUGCUGCAUGGCUGUCGUCAGCUCGUGUCGUGAGAUGUUGGGUUAAGUCCCGCAACGAGCGCAACCCUUGCCUUUAGUUGCCAGCAGUUCGGCUGGGCACUCUAAAGGGACUGCCGGUGUUAAACCGGAGGAAGGUGGGGAUGACGUCAAGUCCUCAUGGCCUUUAUGUCCAGGGCGACACACGUGCUACAAUGGCCGGCACAGCGGGAAGCGAGGCAGUGAUGCCGAGCGGAUCCCUUAAAGCCGGUCUCAGUUCGGAUUGAAGUCUGCAACUCGACUUCAUGAAGCUGGAAUCGCUAGUAAUCGCAGAUCAGCCAAGCUGCGGUGAAUACGUUCCCGGGCCUU
RNAcentral lists this ribosomal RNA (469 nucleotides) under uncultured Desulfobulbus sp. RNAcentral describes it as "bacterial SSU rRNA". It matches the Rfam family "Bacterial small subunit ribosomal RNA", at positions 920 to 1382 of the family's 1533-position model. Lineage: Bacteria; Pseudomonadati; Thermodesulfobacteriota; Desulfobulbia; Desulfobulbales; Desulfobulbaceae. The record is from RNAcentral.